RNAcentral lists this ribosomal RNA (402 nucleotides) under Ameletopsis perscitus. RNAcentral's name for it is "partial 12S ribosomal RNA". It matches the Rfam family "Microsporidia small subunit ribosomal RNA", at positions 651 to 1211 of the family's 1311-position model. The record is from RNAcentral. Lineage: Eukaryota; Metazoa; Arthropoda; Insecta; Ephemeroptera; Ameletopsidae.
UAAACUACGAUUAGAUACCCUAUUAUACCAGUAGUUGAUGUUGAUCCCAGAGUAGUAAUAGGUAUGUUCUUGAAACUCAAAGAAUUUGGCGGUGUUUUAGUCCAUUCAGAGGAACCUGUCCCAUAAUCGAUAGUCCACGAAUACUUUACUUGGUUUGGUUGUCAGCUUGUAUACCGCCGUCAGAAGAAUGUUUCUUGAGAAAAUAUUCAGGGCUUUUCAUUAAAAAGUAUGUCAGGUCAAGGUGCAGUUUAUAGCCAAGAGGAGGUGGGUUACAAUACAGAAUAAUUAUACGGAUUUGAAUUUGUAAGGUUUGAUGAAGGUGGAUUUGAGUGUAAUGAAGUUUAUUAAGAGUUUGUGAAAGUGGCUCUAAAACAUGCACACAUCGCCCGUCGCUCUUAAAAA